AAGCCUAAUCCCAAAUAUUCCAGUUUUAAAUUCAUCCAGGACAUGGGUCCUGGGGAGGGGAGAUGAAAGCCCUCCAACAGCACCUAACCAUCCCAGCCUUUUAUCCUUGACACCUCCCCGAGCGUCCACUGUGAGAUUCCCGAGCACUCGUUUUCAGCAAAGCAGCGAUUUGUUAGUGGCGAGGUGGGAAAAAAAAUUACAGCGAGUCCGCCGACAACAUGCCCCAGUCAGUGUUUCACCUACCGUAAGUUCCAGCCGCUGCAGACAGCAGCAGCGAGUUCCCAACAGCAACAGUCAUCAGCGGCUCCUGCAGCCCACUACAAAGAUGGGAUUCAUCCAGCGAGUGUUCAUUCACCAACUCCGUCAGUUUCACCACCAUCAAGGAAGCAAAUCCAUCCGGGAGAGAGGGGUUUCCCUCAACGUCCGCUUACACGAGAACAGUUCUGUCUUGUCCCUGCAUUUGAAUGGCUCUCCAUUCCUCCCUCCUCCUGGCUGGUUUUGCAGCCGUCCGGCGAGUGUGAAGAUGUUUUGAAAGCGGGAGGGGAGAGUGCUGGGGGUUUUCAGUGCUAACUGCACUGGAGUGUGGCCAGGAGAGGAGACUUCAAGGCAACAUCCGCCCCAAACCACAGCGGCAUACAACACAACUGGUUAUGACUUCCCUUUGAAGCUGAGAGGACGUGAAGCUGGGACACAAUCACUGUGCCAUAAGAUUCCCAAACUUUAACCCAGAGUUCCGGAUUAUUGGUCCAGUGUCACGUCCCCCUGCUCUACCUCAUUGAAGUCUUCAAGAGAAAGAGAGUGACUGGUCAUGGACAACUUGCCAGGUGUCUCACUCUGUCUGAAUGAGAAAUGAAAAAAUGACACAAGGCCAGGCAGAGCAACAUCAACUGCAGCAGAAGACAGGGACAAGAGAUGAAUGGAGCUAUUCACCUGGCGUCAGCUGAAUGAAGAGGUUGUACCAUCCUUUUGUCAGCAUCUGAAGCAUAAGACUCCUAUCUCCUGAGCAA
Molecule: long non-coding RNA, 1007 nt
Organism: Hemiscyllium ocellatum (epaulette shark)
Lineage: Eukaryota; Metazoa; Chordata; Chondrichthyes; Orectolobiformes; Hemiscylliidae
Exons: 3
Source: RefSeq, a predicted model, not a curated record